GCCCCCAUCGUCUAGAGGCCUAGGACACCUCUCUUUCAAGGAGGCGACGGGGAUUCGAGUUCCCCUGGGGGUA
This 73-nucleotide transfer RNA is filed under the name Plagiogyria japonica. RNAcentral's name for it is "tRNA-Glu". It matches the Rfam family "tRNA". From Rfam's summary of the family: Transfer RNA (tRNA) molecules are approximately 80 nucleotides in length. Their secondary structure includes four short double-helical elements and three loops (D, anti-codon, and T loops). Further hydrogen bonds mediate the characteristic L-shaped molecular structure. tRNAs have two regions of fundamental functional importance: the anti-codon, which is responsible for specific mRNA codon recognition, and the 3' end, to which the tRNAs corresponding amino acid is attached (by aminoacyl-tRNA synthetases). tRNAs cope with the degeneracy of the genetic code in two manners: having more than one tRNA (with a specific anti-codon) for a particular amino acid; and 'wobble' base-pairing, i.e. permitting non-standard base-pairing at the 3rd anti-codon position. RNAcentral also lists the same sequence under 2 other names. The record is from RNAcentral. Lineage: Eukaryota; Viridiplantae; Streptophyta; Polypodiopsida; Cyatheales; Plagiogyriaceae.